UACAGAGACUGCAAGCGUUAUUCGGAUUCACUGGGCGUAAAGGGUGCGCAGGCGGCCAAGUGUGUUAGGCGUGAAAGCCCGGGGCUUAACCCCGGAAUUGCACCUAAAACUACAUGGCUAGAGCAUUGGAGAGGGUAGCGGAAUUCACGGUGUAGCAGUGAAAUGCGUAGAUAUCGUGAGGAACACCAGUGGCGAAGGCGGCGAUCUGGGAAGAUACUGACGCUGAGGUGCGAAAGCGUGGGGAGCAAACAGG
Molecule: ribosomal RNA, 253 nt
Filed under: uncultured bacterium
Lineage: Bacteria
Description: partial 16S ribosomal RNA
Rfam family: Bacterial small subunit ribosomal RNA
Source: RNAcentral